AAUGCAGCGACCGUGUGGUCCACACACAUUUGACGAAAUAUGCCAGACUUGCUGUUGAGUGUCAUUGGUUGCAACGGCAACAGUGCAGCUAUCAAUCACUUCGGGUUACAGACAAGACAAAGGUUGACCCAGUGAAGCCUUGUGGGCAGUCACACACAAAACCAUCCGACAGGGCGUGGCAGCGGCCACCAUUUCUGCAUGGAUUGCUGGAACAAUGGUUCCUCUGGACCUCGCAUUGUCGACCCACAAACCCUGGCUGGCAAACACACUGGUAGCCUCUCGCCGUGUUCUGGUACGAAGACAAGAAGUGAGAUUCUCAGCAAGUCAAUCAACAGUUCCAAUGGCAAGCAAACAUUUAGAAACUGUGUUUUAAACAGUACAUUUUCUUGCUGAAAUGUAAGCAAGAGAGUAAUUAACAAACAUUUGUUUCUGUUUCCCAGAGAUCUUGAUGUUAAAAUCUUAACUUCGUCAUGGCUAGUAAUGUUAAAUGGUAAACAAAUGCAAUGAAUGAUAGCUUCAGUUUAAAUUAGCCUUAAAUAUUUACAGGUGAUAUCAAGAUAUACCAAGGUAAAGCGCUACAAUUUCAAGUCCACUAAACUCUUGUACCACAGCACUUCUAUGCUCUAACGUUGUGUCAAUAAAAUGCCAGAUAGAGUUC
This is a long non-coding RNA of Fundulus heteroclitus (mummichog), 658 nucleotides long. RefSeq lists it as uncharacterized. The record is from RefSeq and is a predicted model, not a curated record. Lineage: Eukaryota; Metazoa; Chordata; Actinopteri; Cyprinodontiformes; Fundulidae. The transcript is spliced from 2 exons.